ACUCCUACGGGAGGCAGCAGUCGGGAAUCUUGCGCAAUGGGCGAAAGCCUGACGCAGCAACACCGUGUGAGCGACGAAGGCCUUCGGGUCGUAAAGCUCUGUUGUUGGGGACGAAGGGUUAGGGGUUAAUAGCCCCGAGCCUGACGGUACCCUUCGAGGAAGCCCCGGCUAACUACGUGCCAGCAGCCGCGGUAAUACGUAGGGGGCGAGCGUUGUCCGGAAUUAUUGGGCGUAAAGAGCGUGUAGGCGGUUCGGUAAGUCUGCCGUGAAAACCCAGGGCUCAACCCUGGGCGUGCGGUGGAUACCGCCGGGCUAGAGGGUGGUAGAGGCGAGUGGAAUUCCCGGUGUAGCGGUGAAAUGCGUAGAGAUC
This 370-nucleotide ribosomal RNA is filed under the name uncultured bacterium. RNAcentral's name for it is "bacterial SSU rRNA". It matches the Rfam family "Bacterial small subunit ribosomal RNA", at positions 335 to 698 of the family's 1533-position model. The record is from RNAcentral.